This 564-nucleotide ribosomal RNA is filed under the name uncultured archaeon. Its description in RNAcentral is "bacterial SSU rRNA". It matches the Rfam family "Archaeal small subunit ribosomal RNA", at positions 326 to 894 of the family's 1478-position model. The record is from RNAcentral.
CGGGGUGCAGCAGGCGCGAAAACUUUGCAAUAGGCGAAAGCCUGACAGGGCUAUCCCGAGUGCCAUCCGCUGAGGAAGGCUUUUACCCAGUCUAGAACGCUGGGGGAAUAAGGAGAGGGCAAGUCUGGUGUCAGCCGCCGCGGUAAUACCAGCUCUCCGAGUGGUGUGGAUGUUUAUUGGGCCUAAAGCAUCCGUAGCUGGCUAAGUUAGUCCCUUGUUAAAUCCACCGAAUUAAUCGUUGGAUCGCGGGGGAUACUGCUUGGCUAGGGGACGAGAGAGGCAGACGGUAUUUUCGGGGUAGGGGUGAAAUCCUAUAAUCCCGGGAAGACCACCAGUGGCGAAGGCUGUCUGCUAGAACGCGCCCGACGGUGAGGGAUGAAAGCUGGGGGAGCGAACCGGAUUAGAUACCCGGGUAGUCCCAGCUGUAAACGAUGCAGACUAGGUGUUUGGACGGCCACGUGCCGUUCUAGUGCCGCAGGGAAGCUGUUAAGUCUGCCGCCUGGGGAGUACGAUCGCAAGAUUGAAACUUAAAGGAAUUGGCGGGGGAGCACAAGGGCGAUUCGC